AUGACAGUCGGCUGGAAAAUCCCCCUGGGGAAGCCCCAAAUCCGCAAUUCUGGCCCUAAAAUUCAGCUAAAAGCUCCAGGAGGGUCUGUCCUGACAGGGGAGUCCCCAGAGAGUCCCAAACUCACCCCGGGACUGCAGCAGGGUCACGGCCGCCUGAGCAACGUGGGGAAAGGUGCCCCGAGUGAGGAUUUGGGUCAGUUUGGAGCUUUUCCCGUCCCCAUCUGCCCCUGUCCCCGCAGGGCUGCGGCGGCCGUGACCCUGCUGGAGUCCGGGGGCACCUCCAGCCCCCCGGGGGGUCCCUGCGCCUCCUCUGCCGCGCCUCCGGCUUCAAUUUCGGGAGUUUUGGGAUGGGCUGGGUCAGACAGAGACCCGGGCAGGGGCUGGAAUGGGUCGCCAGUAUCGGCAACAACGGUGCCAGCACCUAUUACGCGCCAUCGGUCAAGGGCCGGUUCACGAUCUCCCGGGACAACGGGCAGAGCUCGGUGACGUUGGCCAUGAACAGCCUCAAGGACGACGAUUCCGCUGUUUAUUUCUGCGCCAAAUAUGCCGGUGCUGGUGCUGCUGGUGCUGCUGCUGGUGACAAUCCUGGUGCCGGCCUGUCCCCCAGGCCCUGAGCCCACAAACAUCCC
Non-coding RNA from Taeniopygia guttata (zebra finch), 629 nucleotides. The record is from the annotation of a RefSeq genome assembly. NCBI's taxonomy places the organism in Eukaryota, Metazoa, Chordata, Aves, Passeriformes, Estrildidae.